RNAcentral lists this ribosomal RNA (433 nucleotides) under uncultured bacterium. RNAcentral describes it as "partial 16S ribosomal RNA". It matches the Rfam family "Bacterial small subunit ribosomal RNA", at positions 29 to 507 of the family's 1533-position model. The record is from RNAcentral.
AACGAACGCUGGCGGCAGGCCUAACACAUGCAAGUCGAGCGCGCCCUUCGGGGUUAGCGGCGGUCGGGUGAGUAACGCGUGGGAACGUGCCCUUCUCUGCGGAAUAGCCUCGGGAAACUGAGAGUAAUACCGCAUACGCCCAUUGGGGGAAAGAUUUAUCGGAGAAGGAUCGGCCCGUGUUGGUUUAGGUAGUUGGUGGGGUAAUGGCCGACCAAGCCGACGAUGCAUAGCUGGUUUGAGAGGAUGAUCAGCCACGCUGGGACUGAGACACGGCCCAGACUCCUACGGGAAGCAGCAGUGGGGAAUCUUAGACAAUGGGGGCAACCCUGAUCUAGCCAUGCCGCGUGAGUGAUGAAGGCCUUAGGGUUGUAAAGCUCUUUCAGCUGGGAAGAUAAUGACGGUACCAGCAGAAGAAGCCCCGGCUAACUCCGUG